UACGUAGGGUGCGAGCGUUAAUCGGAAUUACUGGGCGUAAAGCGUGCGUAGGCGGUUCGUUGUGUCUGUGGUGAAAGCCCCGGGCUUAACCUGGGAAUGGCCAUGGAAACUGGCGAGCUGGAGUGUGGCAGAGGGGGGUGGAAUUCCGCGUGUAGCAGUGAAAUGCGUAGAGAUGCGGAGGAACACCGAUGGCGAAGGCAGCCCCCUGGGCUAACACUGACGCUCAGGCACGAAAGCGUGGGGAGCAAACAGG
This 253-nucleotide ribosomal RNA is filed under the name uncultured bacterium. RNAcentral's name for it is "partial 16S ribosomal RNA". It matches the Rfam family "Bacterial small subunit ribosomal RNA", at positions 524 to 776 of the family's 1533-position model. The record is from RNAcentral.